CCACCCUGUAUUACUCUCUCUUUAUUGUUAUUGUGUUUCUUUAGUAUGUGACGUAUCAGCAAGCGGUUUAUUCUUUGCAUUGCCUAUGCAUUACGUAUUGUAUUUUACAUUUUGUAUAUGUAUGUAAUUACAUAUGUGGUUUGCGAUCUCUCGAUACAAUUGAGUGGAAAUGUGUCUUCUUUAUAUUUUAUUUGUGGUUAUGAGCGAUAGAAAGAGCAUAGUAAUGGGCGGAUGCGGAUUAACAAUAGUAGAAGUAAAACGUUGCGGUUAAAAGCUCAAUAUUCUUGAAGUGUGACCAUAUUUGAUUAGAUGCACUUAAGGUAAACAUGUUCGACUCAAUAAGGCCUUGAUAAUUGAUGUUGCGAUUGAUUGCUCAACAAUGUUGCGACAACACUGCUGCAGUAAAGGUAAACAUACUUGCAACAUGUUUGAUCAAGAAGUUUUGUUACGCUGUCUGUCAAAUAACAUAUCCAAUUAAGAAACCAAAAUAAACCAAGCAACAAAUACUGAAAUAAAAGUAACAAAACAAAAAAAAAUAAAAACAAAAGGAACUCUUAGACCGACAUCCAAUUAUGGCAACUAGUUAGACUUGCUUACAACGCACUCACACACGCACACACACACAUGCGUGCCAAUUGGCCAUUACUGUUGCUUGACCGCCGUCUGCAUUCGCCUGUCAAUUAAAAAUGCUUGCAAAUUCUUGUUUUGCUCGUUUUGUUUGUUGUCGUUUCUAUGCAUUGCCUUCUUUUCUUCUUAUCUCUCUUUACUCUGCAUUUAGUCAGCCCACGCAGUUACCAAUUCGUAUAAAAAAACUUCAAUUCAAUUCAUUUCUCUUUCCGUUUCAUCACUUUGCUUUGUUGCUGCGGCUGCAAAAUUCCAUUCCGAAA
This is a long non-coding RNA of Drosophila innubila, 887 nucleotides long. RefSeq lists it as uncharacterized. The transcript is spliced from 2 exons. The record is from RefSeq and is a predicted model, not a curated record. NCBI's taxonomy places the organism in Eukaryota, Metazoa, Arthropoda, Insecta, Diptera, Drosophilidae.